UUUAUGGAGAGUUUGAUCCUGGCUCAGGAUGAACGCUGGCGGCGUGCCUAAUACAUGCAAGUCGAGCGAACGGACGAGAAGCUUGCUUCUCUGAUGUUAGCGGCGGACGGGUGAGUAACACGUGGAUAACCUACCUAUAAGACUGGGAUAACUUCGGGAAACCGGAGCUAAUACCGGAUAAUAUUUUGAACCGCAUGGUUCAAAAGUGAAAGACGGUCUUGCUGUCACUUAUAGAUGGAUCCGCGCUGCAUUAGCUAGUUGGUAAGGUAACGGCUUACCAAGGCAACGAUGCAUAGCCGACCUGAGAGGGUGAUCGGCCACACUGGAACUGAGACACGGUCCAGACUC
RNAcentral lists this ribosomal RNA (348 nucleotides) under Staphylococcus aureus. RNAcentral describes it as "bacterial SSU rRNA". It matches the Rfam family "Bacterial small subunit ribosomal RNA", at positions 1 to 338 of the family's 1533-position model. Lineage: Bacteria; Bacillati; Bacillota; Bacilli; Caryophanales; Staphylococcaceae. The record is from RNAcentral.